RNAcentral lists this ribosomal RNA (813 nucleotides) under uncultured bacterium. RNAcentral describes it as "bacterial SSU rRNA". It matches the Rfam family "Bacterial small subunit ribosomal RNA", at positions 60 to 839 of the family's 1533-position model. The record is from RNAcentral.
AGUCGAGCGAGCUUGCCUAUUGAAAUUCUUCGGAAUGGACAUAGAUACAAGCUAGCGGCGGAUGGGUGAGUAACGCGUGGGUAACCUGCCCUUAAGUCUGGGAUACCAUUUGGAAACAGAUGCUAAUACCGGUUAAAAGCUACUUUCGCAUGAAAGAAGUUUAAAAGGCGGCGUAAGCUGUCGCUAAAGGAUGGACCUGCGAUGCAUUAGCUAGUUGGUAAGGUAACGGCUUACCAAGGCGAUGAUGCAUAGCCGAGUUGAGAGACUGAUCGGCCACAUUGGGACUGAGACACGGCCCAAACUCCUACGGGAGGCAGCAGUAGGGAAUCUUCCACAAUGGACGCAAGUCUGAUGGAGCAACGCCGCGUGAGUGAAGAAGGUUUUCGGAUCGUAAAGCUCUGUUGUUGGUGAAGAAGGAUAGAGGUAGUAACUGGCCUUUAUUUGACGGUAAUCAACCAGAAAGUCACGGCUAACUACGUGCCAGCAGCCGCGGUAAUACGUAGGUGGCAAGCGUUGUCCGGAUUUAUUGGGCGUAAAGCGAGCGCAGGCGGAUUGAUAAGUCUGAUGUGAAAGCCUUCGGCUCAACCGAAGAACUGCAUCAGAAACUGUCAAUCUUGAGUGCAGAAGAGGAGAGUGGAACUCCAUGUGUAGCGGUGGAAUGCGUAGAUAUAUGGAAGAACACCAGUGGCGAAGGCGGCUCUCUGGUCUGUAACUGACGCUGAGGCUCGAAAGCAUGGGUAGCGAACAGGAUUAGAUACCCUGGUAGUCCAUGCCGUAAACGAUGAGUGCUAAGUGUUGGGAGGUUUCCGCCUC